GACGAACGCUGGCGGCGUGCUUAACACAUGCAAGUCGAACGGAAAGGCCCUGCUUUUGUGGGGUGCUCGAGUGGCGAACGGGUGAGUAACACGUGAGUAACCUGCCCUUGACUUUGGGAUAACUUCAGGAAACUGGGGCUAAUACCGGAUAGGAGCUCCUGCUGCAUGGUGGGGGUUGGAAAGUUUCGGCGGUUGGGGAUGGACUCGCGGCUUAUCAGCUUGUUGGUGGGGUAGUGGCUUACCAAGGCUUUGACGGGUAGCCGGCCUGAGAGGGUGACCGGCCACAUGGGGACUGAGAAACGGCCCAGACUCCUAGGGGAGGCAGCAGUGGGGAAUAUUGCACAAUGGGCGGAAGCGUGAUGCGGCAACGCCGCGUGAGGGAUGACGGCCUUCGGGUUGUAAACCGCUUUCGCCGGUGACGAAGGGUGAGUGACGGUAAUGGGUAAAGAAGAACCGGCUAAUUACGU
Molecule: ribosomal RNA, 467 nt
Filed under: uncultured bacterium
Lineage: Bacteria
Description: partial 16S ribosomal RNA
Rfam family: Bacterial small subunit ribosomal RNA
Source: RNAcentral